CAUCCCCACCAUUCUAACGCUCGAACUGGGUCAACUCUGCGGGUAGAAGACUCAGACUCAGUCCUGUCGCUCCUGUCGGCCGGGCCGCAUCUCAGAAAAAUGACUUCGCCCACAACUUCACCGCAAAAGCCCACAGGGGCAUCCCCAGCAAGAUCGACUGGCGCCCCAAUGACAGUGGCCAAAUGGCAGUGGUCAGAGAGCACAAUGCCCAACACUGGGGCCGCCGGGUGGACUC
Molecule: long non-coding RNA, 235 nt
Organism: Cimex lectularius (bed bug)
Lineage: Eukaryota; Metazoa; Arthropoda; Insecta; Hemiptera; Cimicidae
Exons: 2
Source: RefSeq, a predicted model, not a curated record